RNAcentral lists this transfer RNA (73 nucleotides) under Caudoviricetes sp. Its description in RNAcentral is "tRNA-Lys". It matches the Rfam family "tRNA". From Rfam's summary of the family: Transfer RNA (tRNA) molecules are approximately 80 nucleotides in length. The record is from RNAcentral. Lineage: Duplodnaviria; Heunggongvirae; Uroviricota; Caudoviricetes.
GCGACUUUAGCUCAGUUGGUAGAGCAACGCACUUUUAAUGCGGAGGUCAUGGGUUCAAGCCCCAUAAGUCGCA